CCAGUGCCCCGUGGCCGGGCUUUCUCCGUGACCAUAAUAAAUAUGAAUGGCACCAGAGCCCGCGGGGCAGGGGCCACGUGAUCCCUCCGCGAAAGCACUUG
This is a non-coding RNA of Rhinolophus ferrumequinum (greater horseshoe bat), 101 nucleotides long. NCBI's taxonomy places the organism in Eukaryota, Metazoa, Chordata, Mammalia, Chiroptera, Rhinolophidae. The record is from Rfam.